UUGGGAGUGUUGGAAACCAUGGGAGGUGAGGCCUCAUUGGAAGAGGUGGUCACUGAGAGCCACGCCUUUGAUGUGCCCCCGAGGACUCCUGUUUUUGGUGCCACACUCCCAGUCUGCUCCCUGGCCACCAUUAGAUUAACUUCAUUCUGAAAUAAUCCAUUUAAAAUCUAUCAAAGUCAAGUUAACAAGCAGCAGCUUCAAUGUCAGGCAUCACCUCAAGCUCUUCUGAUCCAGCACAAUCCCAAAGCUGCAGCCGGAGCCAACCCACAACCCCCUGUUCAUUAGACAGCCAUCACACUUCACCUGCUCUGGCACCUGCAGACAUCACCACCUGGCUUUUCUCAUAUCUCCUUGUGGAUUCAUGCUACAAGACUCAUUUGAUGAUUGUGAUAAUUCACAGAAGUUUAAUAUCCGGGGGAUUCUACUAAGUGUGAAAAGUCCAUGCCAAGUGCUGAAGCCUGUUUGAAACAUCUAAAACUUCGCCUGCACACUGCCACUUCUCCUCACUGGAAACUGUCAAAAGAUAACAAGGAACCAGAAGAAAGCAAAGAGUACUCCCCCGAGGGCUGCAGUAACCCCCCCUGUGUAGAACUGAAAUCAUGAAGAAAUGUUAACAUCGUGAUUGGCAAAAUGUUCUUGGAAAUUAAACCUAGGUGCAAAUGGUGUGGAGCACAAACUGCCUAGCCUGCAUCAAGUGAAGCCCGGGGGGCCAGCCUGUCCCUGAGGACAGUCAGGACUCACAUGUCUCUCUCUGGGAUUGGAACUUCUCUCAAAGCACUUAGCCAGGCCUGUGCUCAUUCUUAAGAGGGCAAUGCACUCAUGUCAACCGAGAAUCACAUGGACUAUGGAACUCACUCAUACUGGCACAGAGGGGCUCACAGUGGUGUUGACAGACUUGGAUUAGUGGCAGCUGUGUGAUUAUUAUAACCAAGGCUCUUGCUCACUCUGAGGCAAGACUACAGGCUCACAAGAGUAAGGAAAGCCUGCAUUACAGGUUCUUCUUGGACACGAGACAUCAGCAAGCUGUGCCAUUCAGGAACUGCAAGGGGAAAGGGGGAGUUUGCCCCAUGAAGAAAGAUAAGCCUAGAAGUAAUUCAUUUCCACUACGUUUCAGAAGAUAUUUACAGCCUGAAGACUGCUUACCUACAGAGACUGCUCCUACCUGAAUUAAUCCCAACCAGUUUCCCCUUCUCUGUUGGCAACAGGUAUUUACUGUAGUGAACACAUGACUUCAACAAAACUGCCUCCAACUGCAGGUGAAAAUGUCUGGUAUUUGGCUGAAACAAUCACACGGACAAAGAAGAAACAUAUCUCUGGGAAUGAAGACCAACACGACUGACCAACUGGACAACUGACCAGGCUCUGCAGAUCCCAGCCAAACCAGGCAUCUCAGAUUCUAUGAGGGUGGAGAUGAUGUCAGCUAAGGCUCCAGUACCUGACACCUGUGAUGUCUGGUGCACUCAGGGGGGUGCCGGAGUCUGGAUGCUUUUUGCUUUCCAUCAUUUUCUCAUAAGUUGCUGCUAUAUCAACAAGUCCACACAUCAAUAAUUAAAUAAUACAAGAAAAUUAAAAAGAAAAAUAAGCCGGGCAUGUGGCACACACCAGCAUUCUCAGCAAGCACGAGGCUGAUAUGGGAGUGAAAGUGUG
Non-coding RNA from Peromyscus maniculatus bairdii (prairie deer mouse), 1647 nucleotides. Lineage: Eukaryota; Metazoa; Chordata; Mammalia; Rodentia; Cricetidae. The record is from RefSeq and is a predicted model, not a curated record.